Molecule: ribosomal RNA, 443 nt
Filed under: uncultured bacterium
Lineage: Bacteria
Description: partial 16S ribosomal RNA
Rfam family: Bacterial small subunit ribosomal RNA
Source: RNAcentral
CCUACGAGAGGCAGCAGUGGGGAAUAUUGGGCAAUGGGCGCAAGCCUGACCCAGCAACGCCGCGUGAAGGAAGAAGGCUCUCGGGUUGUAAACUUCUUUUAUCAGGGACGAAGCAAGUGACGGUACCUGAUGAAUAAGCAACGGCUAACUACGUGACAGAAGCCGCGGUAAUACGUAGGUGGCAAGCGAUAUCCGGAUGUACUGGGUGUAAAGGGCGUGUAGGCGGGAAAGCAAGUUAGAUGUGAAAAACAUGGGCUCAACCUGUGGCCUGCAUUUGAAACUGUUUUUCUUGAGCACUGGAGGGGCAGACUGAAUUCCUAGUGUAGCGGUGAAAUGCGUAGAUAUUAGGAGGAACACCAGUGGCGGAGGCGGUCUGUUGGACAGCAACUGACGCUGAGGCGCGAACGCGUGGGGAGCAAACAGGAUUAGAUACCCUAGUAGUC